GGGCGCGUAGCUCAGUUGGUAGAGCAAGGGACUCUUAAUCCCUAGGUCCGGGGUUCGAGCCCCCGCGCGCUCACCA
This 76-nucleotide transfer RNA is filed under the name Myxococcales bacterium. RNAcentral describes it as "tRNA-Lys". It matches the Rfam family "tRNA". From Rfam's summary of the family: Transfer RNA (tRNA) molecules are approximately 80 nucleotides in length. Their secondary structure includes four short double-helical elements and three loops (D, anti-codon, and T loops). The record is from RNAcentral. Lineage: Bacteria; Pseudomonadati; Myxococcota; Myxococcia; Myxococcales. RNAcentral also lists the same sequence under 2 other names.